GAUGAACGCUGGCGGCGUGCUUAACACAUGCAAGUCGAACGGGAAACCUUUUAUUGAAGCUUCGGCAGAUUUAGCUGGUUUCUAGUGGCGGACGGGUGAGUAACGCGUGGGUAACCUGCCUUAUACAGGGGGAUAACAACCAGAAAUGGUUGCUAAUACCGCAUAAGCGCACAGGACCGCAUGGUCCGGUGUGAAAAACUCCGGUGGUAUAAGAUGGACCCGCGUUGGAUUAGCUAGUUGGCAGGGUAACGGCCUACCAAGGCGACGAUCCAUAGCCGGCCGGAGAGGGUGAACGGCCACAUUGGGACUGAGACACGGCCCAGACUCCUACGGGAGGCAGCAGUGGGGAAUAUUGCACAAUGGGGGAAACCCUGAUGCAGCGACGCCGCGUGAAGGAAGAAGUAUCUCGGUAUGUAAACUUCUAUCAGCAGGGAAGAUAGUGACGGUACCUGACUAAGAAGCCCCGGCUAACUACGUG
RNAcentral lists this ribosomal RNA (478 nucleotides) under uncultured bacterium. RNAcentral describes it as "partial 16S ribosomal RNA". It matches the Rfam family "Bacterial small subunit ribosomal RNA", at positions 28 to 507 of the family's 1533-position model. The record is from RNAcentral.